Long non-coding RNA from Condylura cristata (star-nosed mole), 252 nucleotides. RefSeq lists it as uncharacterized. The record is from RefSeq and is a predicted model, not a curated record. Lineage: Eukaryota; Metazoa; Chordata; Mammalia; Eulipotyphla; Talpidae. The transcript is spliced from 3 exons.
AUUUCCGACCUCCUGCUCUCCCUCUGCGACUGUUGCGUGCCAGACACGCAGCUUCGUGGUAGUAGCGUGCUGGAUCCAACAGGGAAUUCCUUUGAGUUUCUGCUCUUUUUGUCUUAUGAAAACACCUGGCAGUAUUAUGGUGGUGAUGGAACACGCCAGUAUGUGAAAAGAGGUCACCAGCAGGUCUGGCACAGAAGUAGUCCUCAGAAAUCUUUUGAAGUGUAGAGAACACAGCCAUAGGAAGCAACCAUG